UAGUCUUCCUAAUUAAUCACAAUUUAUGUAACUGCAUUCAGAAAUUCUGGAAGACUUUGUAUUAAAAUAGCUAAGUC
Eurypyga helias (sunbittern) is the source of this 77-nucleotide regulatory RNA element. It matches the Rfam family "3'-terminal pseudoknot in SPCSV". NCBI's taxonomy places the organism in Eukaryota, Metazoa, Chordata, Aves, Eurypygiformes, Eurypygidae. The record is from Rfam.